This is a non-coding RNA of Macaca mulatta (Rhesus monkey), 1235 nucleotides long. The record is from RefSeq and is a predicted model, not a curated record. NCBI's taxonomy places the organism in Eukaryota, Metazoa, Chordata, Mammalia, Primates, Cercopithecidae.
AGUAGUAGUAGUAGCAGCUUUUUUUUAAGUAACAACACUGAAUAAACUGUCUCUGUCAAAGAAAGACGUUCAAGUGACUGGAGAUAAUAAAGAAGGGUUUCAGUCCGUGGGAUUUAAAAAAUCCACCCAAGAACCUGGUGAUGCUCUGACCCACAGUCUGUGAAGUAACCAGCUGGAAAAGCCAAACUACAGCUCUGCAUACAGCAGCCCUAAUGGUCAAGACUGCACUGAUGGCUUCCCACCUUUUAGCCCUUGCUUCCAACUUAGGACCAAAAGGGAGAACCAAAUAGACACCCUCUUUCCAGUCAGGUUUUUAGAUAAUAACUGUUUCAAUCAACUGCCAAUCCGAAAAUCUUUGAAUCCACCUAUGACCCGGAAGCCUUCCUCCCACCAACCGCCUUCGAGCUGUCCCACCUUUCUGGACUGAAUCAAUUUCCAUGAUGGAAAAUCGAAUGGUCACUUUCCAUUUACCACGUCCAAGGAGCAGUCCAGGCUUCCCUCCAUUUCCACAAUGACCCCAAGUGUUUUGCCAUUUGCUCCUCGAAGAACAUCUGGAUUUGUUUCUGGCUUUUGGCUAUGAGGAAUAAGCCUGCUGAGAACAUUCACCUCCAGGAUUUUGUGUGAAUGUAAGUGCUUUAGGGGUGGGGCAGGACCCUGCAGGCCAUCGCUGGGUUGGAUGAUUCUCUAGAGGGACCCAGAGAACUCCGCCAAGCUGACCUAAGCCCCUGAAAGUCAAACAGAUACUGCGUGGCCCAAUGCCUGCACCAUAGCUCACUUGUUGGAAUAAACUGGCCAAGAAAAAUGGAGGUAAGUGAUUACAUUAUCAGAGGCAUCCUAGGUGGAUCCUGGAGAUGUGGACAGUACCUGUAGUCAUGAAGCUGACAGCUGGAAGAAGCCCGUCUGGUUCAACCCCUGUCUGGCAUAUUCCUUCCUUCUCCAUCCUCACUUUCUACCCCUCACAGGGACAGAUAAUUUACAGCUUACCGAGCCAGGUCAUUGCACUUUUGGACAACUCUACUAAAUGGAUUUUCCUCAUGCCAUCACAUAACUGCUGCCUGCCACCAGAGCCUUAGAAAUGUAUGGUUUUCCAUCAAGCACUCAUGGAACACGUCACUGUGGGCACUUCUGGGGGGUUCAUGAUGGAUCCUUCAAGAUCAACUAAAUAUAAAACAAGCUCCCAGGUAACAGAACCACUUCAGCUGUUAAAUAAAAUCAUCUGUGUUAACCUAGUUUAA